CAGAGGUUACUGCUAUCGAGAUUCGACUAAGCCAUSCGCAGUUGAAUGUUCUUCGUGAACAUGGCGGACUGCUCAGUAACACGUGGACAACCUACCCUUGGGUCCGGCAUAAUCCUGGGAAACUGGGAAUAAUUCCGGAUAGGUCACCGAUGCUGGAAUGCGCGGUGGCCGAAAGCUCCGGCGCCCGAGGAUGGGUCUGCGGCCUAUCAGGGUUGUAGUGGGUGUAACGUACCUACUAGCCUACGACGGGUACGGGUUGUGAGAGCAAGAGCCCGGAGAUGGAUUCUGAGACACGAAUCCAGGCCCUACGGGGUGCAGCAGGCGCGAAAACUUUACAAUGCGGGAAACCGUGAUAAGGGGAUCUCGAGUGCCAGCAUAUAAUGUUGGCUGUCCAGAUGCCUAAAAAGCAUCUGUUAGCAAGGGCCGGGCAAGACCGGUGCCAGCCGCCGCGGUAACACCGGCGGCCCGAGUGGUAACCGCUAUUAUUGGGUCUAAAGGGUCUGUAGCCGGCCAGGUAAGUCCCUUGGGAAAUCUGGCAGCUCAACUGUCAGGCUGCUAGGGGAUACUGUUUGGCUUGGGACCGGGAGAGGUGAGAGGUACCUUGGGGGUAGGGGUGAAAUCUUGUGAUCCUCGAGGGACCACCAGUGGCGAAGGCGUCUCACCAGAACGGGUCCGACGGUAAGGGACGAAAGCUAGGGGCACGAACCGGAUUAGAUACCCGGGUAGUCCUAGCCGUAAACGAUGCUCGCUAGGUGUCAGUCACGGUGCGACCGUGAUUGGUGCCGUAGGGAAGCCGUGAAGCGAGCCACCUGGGAAGUAUGGCCGCAAGGCUGAAACUUAAAGGAAUUGGCGGGGAGMRCACKMCRACGGGUGGAGCCUGCGGUUUAUG
Molecule: ribosomal RNA, 889 nt
Filed under: uncultured Methanosaeta sp.
Lineage: Archaea; Methanobacteriati; Methanobacteriota; Methanomicrobia; Methanotrichales; Methanotrichaceae
Description: bacterial SSU rRNA
Rfam family: Archaeal small subunit ribosomal RNA
Source: RNAcentral